RNAcentral lists this ribosomal RNA (482 nucleotides) under uncultured bacterium. Its description in RNAcentral is "partial 16S ribosomal RNA". It matches the Rfam family "Bacterial small subunit ribosomal RNA", at positions 30 to 507 of the family's 1533-position model. The record is from RNAcentral.
AUUGAACGCUGGCGGCAUGCUUUACACAUGCCAGUCGAACGGUAACAGGCCGCUAGGUGCUGGCGAGUGGCGGACGGGUGAGUAAUGCAUCGGAACGUGCCCAGUCGUGGGGGAUAACUACUCGCAAGAGUAGCUAAUACCGCAUACGAUCUAUGGAUGAAAGCGGGGGACCGUAAGGCCUCGCGCGAUUGGAGCGGCCGAUGUCAGAUUAGGUAGUUGGUGGGGUAAAGGCUCGCCAAGCCAACGAUCUGUAGCUGGUCUGAGAGGACGACCAGCCACACUGGGACUGAGACACGGCCCAGACUCCUACGGGAGGCAGCAGUGGGGAAUUUUGGACAAUGGGCGCAAGCCUGAUCCAGCAAUGCCGCGUGCAGGAAGAAGGCCUUCGGGUUGUAAACUGCUUUUGUACGGAACGAAACGGCUCUGGUUAAUACCCGGGGCUAAUGACGGUACCGGAAGAAUAAGCACCGGCUAACUACGUG